RNAcentral lists this ribosomal RNA (253 nucleotides) under uncultured bacterium. RNAcentral describes it as "partial 16S ribosomal RNA". It matches the Rfam family "Bacterial small subunit ribosomal RNA", at positions 524 to 776 of the family's 1533-position model. The record is from RNAcentral.
UACGUAGGGAGCAAGCGUUGUUCGGAUUUACUGGGCGUAAAGGGCGCGUAGGCGGCAAUUCAAGUCAUCUGUGAAAUCUCCGGGCUUAACUCGGAACUGUCAGAUGAUACUGCUUUGCUAGAGUGCAGAAGGGGCAAUCGGAAUUCUUGGUGUAGCGGUGAAAUGCGUAGAUAUCAAGAGGAACACCUGAGAUGAAGACGGGUUGCUGGGCUGACACUGACGCUGAGGCGCGAAAGCCAGGGGAGCAAACGGG